RNAcentral lists this long non-coding RNA (341 nucleotides) under Mytilus galloprovincialis (Mediterranean mussel). The record is from RNAcentral. Lineage: Eukaryota; Metazoa; Mollusca; Bivalvia; Mytilida; Mytilidae.
UAAAAGGAGGUAGAUAUUUUUUCUAUUCGGUAGGAAUUUUUAAUCAUAGCUAUGACACCUGUAAGAGUCGGUAAUGAAGUAUUAAAGCGACAUGUAUAAAUGUAAUAUUUAACCAGAAUAGUGAAUAAGUUUAGGGAAAUAUCCCAAGACUCUGACCCAAGAACAAUAUUUUCCACAUUAAGAAUUAAAGUUAAAUUAUUUUCAACUAGAAAAAGUGCUGCAAUUUCUAACCACAAAUUUCUAACUAGGGUACAUUCCCAGAAAAGGUGACUUAUAGUUUCUUUAGUUUCAUUACAGAAACUACAUAAGUUAGUUUCUUUUAACCCAUAUUUCUGCAAUAA